Molecule: long non-coding RNA, 1722 nt
Organism: Haemorhous mexicanus (house finch)
Lineage: Eukaryota; Metazoa; Chordata; Aves; Passeriformes; Fringillidae
Exons: 2
Source: RefSeq, a predicted model, not a curated record
GGAAAGGGCUGGGAUACAGCACUAGGGGCUGGGAGAAGGAAAGGAGCUCCCUAAGGGAGAUAAAAUCCAUCCUCCAGGGAACAGAUGUCUCCCUCACCUCCUGCUCAAGCUCCUGCUCCCUGGGCAACUUAUUCCACAGCCUGACCACUCUUCCAGUGAAAACAUUUUUCCUUAAAUCCAAUCUGAAGCUCUCCUGUGUGACUUGAGGCUGUUUUCCUUUCUCACUUGGGACACGGCAGAAGCAAUUGACCCCACCUUGCUACAAUCGCCCUCCAGGUGACAAGCACUGAGGUCCCCCUGAGACUGUGAGGUCCCCCCAGAGCUCCAGCCCAGGCUUGAACCACAGAACCAGGGGAUCACGAGAAGCCAUGGGCUGCCAACAACUGUCUGCAGGAUGGAGGCACGCCGCACCCCCGGGAAUCAGCUGGCAAAUGGGAUGCACUGGGGAUGGAUUAACAACCCAUUAGGGCAGAGAAUCAGGGCUGCCUUACUCAAAUCCCCCCUGGAAUGCUGGGAUUCCUGCCUUCCAUCCCGGGGCUCUAUACAGCGAUCAGCAUCGCCUCGCCCCGGAACAUCAGCGAGGGCUCAGGGCACUGCAAAACCCUUCCCAAAGGGAGGGCAGGAAUUUCCUGGGAUGAACCCAACAGGUCUGCUCCUGCUGCAGGUGCUGGGUGUGGAUGUGGCCGAAGGGACACUUGGGAACACUCAGGAACACUCAGGAACACUCAGGAACACUCAGGAAUGACUCAAACCUGCUGCUGGAGGAGCUGUAGCCAUGCACUGAGAGCCUCUGGGCACAAUGUCCUGCCUGCUUUUCCCCUUCUCCCAGGAAAUUGCCACCCAAGAGGCUUCCAGGAGCAGUAUGACUGCAAUUCCCCCCUUCCUGCUGUGCCAGGGAGUUCAUCCUGGUGGCCAAGGAAUGACUUUUAGUCUGAUUUUUCUCUCUCCAGAACUAAUAAUCUGGAACUGGUGACAAAACCAGGCAUUUUGUCCCUGAAGGCCACUGGAUCCCUGCUGGGAUCAUGACCUGGUUGUUGGAGGUGACUGAGGAAUGAACAUUCUGAAAUGGGAUAUUGGAAUAAUCAGUGGAAUCCUUCUUCCCACCAGGGAAAAUAAAAAAAUCUGGAAGUUUGUGCUCAAAGUGAGAGAUUUCUGGCUGCAGAGGUCACCUUUGCCAUGGGAUUCUGGACUUAAAUUUGGGACAGUCACAUCCCAUUCCCCUCAGUCCCCGGUUUUGCACAGCUCAGGUCCCAAGUCCUUUGGGAAUUUCAUGUGGAGAGUUUUACAAUGGGAAGAAUUCUCUGUUGCCACCUACUUGGAUGCAGAUUGGCAGCACUUUGAAUCCAGUUCAGAAUUCCAGGAAUGGGUUGUGUUGGGAUGGAAAAGAACAGGAGGAAAAGGCAAAUUGCUGCUGUGAUGCCAUGGAAUGCUCAAAUAGAUCCCUGGCAUUUGGGCAUUGGGAUCAGCCCAGCUAGAAGGGAUUAAGAAAAUAAUAAUGACAUUUUUGCUUCCUGGAAAACACAGUUUCAUCCAAAAUAAAACCUUUGCAAAAGGGAAAAAAAAAAAUGAAGAUAAAAAUAGCCCAAAGAAUCAGCACAGCAGGAAAAUUCCGAGCUGGUCAUGGAAUGAACGUCAGCAUUCCCUGUUUGUGAGUUCCUCACUCAAAUUGGGUUAUGUUACAAUACUGGAAUGAAAUAAAGUCACUAUGAAAAGUUGCUUUUU